AUGUACAAAGUCUCUACUCUUUUACCAGGCUAUCCACCAUCUACACAGCAGGAUUCACAAAGACAUGUGGAUGCUAGCAAAGUGAUAAAAUUUGGAUGUUUUUGGAAAUAUAGCAUCACAGGCCCAGUAAGGGGGAAAAGCCAACAUCAUGAAGAAUGCAUUAGGAUAAUGAUUUUACCUUGGGGUUAUAAUCUGCAUUGCGUGCCUAGAGAGCUAUUGCUUUCAAGUCCAAUUUACAAUCCAGGCGCUGACCGUCGACACAAUAUUCUUGUCAUCAAAUCAGACACCAGAAAGCAGAGUACACCCAGGAGAAAUCAGACUAGGAAAUAG
RNAcentral lists this ribosomal RNA (330 nucleotides) under Triticum aestivum (bread wheat). RNAcentral's name for it is "partial small subunit ribosomal RNA". The record is from RNAcentral. Lineage: Eukaryota; Viridiplantae; Streptophyta; Magnoliopsida; Poales; Poaceae.